CCUACGGGUGACAGCAGUGGGGAAUAUUGCACAAUGGGCGAAAGCCUGAUGCAGCCACGCCGCGUGUGCGAUGAAGGCCUUCGGGUCGUAAAGCUCUGUCCUCAAGGAAGAUAAUGACGAUACUUGAGGAGGCAGCCCCGGCUAACUACGUGCCAGCAGCCGCGGUAAUACGUAGGGGGCUAGCGUUAUCCGGAAUUACGGGUCGAAAGGGGUGCGUGGGUGGUUUCUUAAGUGAGAGGGGAAAGGGUACGGCUCAACCGUAGUAAGCCUUUGAAACUGGGAAACUUGAGUGCAGGAGAGGGGAGUUGAAUUCCAGGUGUAGCGGUGAAAUGCGUAGAUAUCAGGAGGAACACCAGUGGCGAAGGCGGCUCCCUGGACUGUAACUGACACUGAGGCACGAAAGCGUGGGGAGCAAACAGGAUUAGAUACCCUAGUAGUC
RNAcentral lists this ribosomal RNA (439 nucleotides) under uncultured bacterium. RNAcentral's name for it is "partial 16S ribosomal RNA". It matches the Rfam family "Bacterial small subunit ribosomal RNA", at positions 338 to 795 of the family's 1533-position model. The record is from RNAcentral.